GACGAAGGGGGGUAGCGUUGUUCGGAAUUACUGGGCGUAAAGCGCGUGUAGGCGGACUGGUAAGUCGGACGUGAAAUCCCUGGGCUCAACCCAGGAACUGCAUCCGAAACUAUCAGUCUGGAGUGGUGGAGAGGGAAGCAGAAUUCCUGGUGUAGAGGUGAAAUUCGUAGAUAUCAGGAGGAACACCGGUGGCGAAGGCGGCUUCCUGGACACUAACUGACGCUCAGACGCUAAAGCGUGGGGAGCAAACAGG
Molecule: ribosomal RNA, 253 nt
Filed under: uncultured bacterium
Lineage: Bacteria
Description: partial 16S ribosomal RNA
Rfam family: Bacterial small subunit ribosomal RNA
Source: RNAcentral